UACGUAGGGUGCGAGCGUUGUCCGGAAUUAUUGGGCGUAAAGGGCUCGUAGGCGGUUUGUCGCGUCGGGGGUGAAAUCCACUGGCUUAACUGGUGGCUUGCUUUCGAUACGGGCAGACUGGAGGUAUGCAGGGGAGAACGGAAUUCCUGGUGUAGCGGUGAAAUGCGCAGAUAUCAGGAGGAACACCGGUGGCGAAGGCGGCAUCCUGGACCGGCAUUGACGCUGAGGCGCGAAAGCCAGGGGAGCAAACGGG
RNAcentral lists this ribosomal RNA (253 nucleotides) under uncultured bacterium. Its description in RNAcentral is "partial 16S ribosomal RNA". It matches the Rfam family "Bacterial small subunit ribosomal RNA", at positions 524 to 776 of the family's 1533-position model. The record is from RNAcentral.